AUACGGAGGAUCCUAGUGUUAUCCGGAUUUAUUGGGUUUAAAGGGAGCGUAGGCGGGAGGUCAAGUCAGCUGUGAAAUGUAUCUGCUUAACGGGUACACUGCAGUUGAAACUGGUUUUCUUGAGUGCGUAAGAGGCAGGCGGAAUUCGUUGUGUAGCGGUGAAAUGCUUAGAUAUCAUGAAGAACUCCGAUUGCGAAGGCAGUCCGCUGGGGCACGUCUGACGCUGAUGCUCGAAGGUGCGGGAAUCAAACAGGAUUAGAUACCCUGGUAGUCCGCACAGUAAACGAUGGACACCCGCGGUUUGGCCUGUAUGGCUGAGCCGCCAAGCGAAAGCGUUAAGUGUCCCACCUGGGGAGUACGCCGGCAACGGUGAAACUCAAAGGAAUUGACGGGG
This 394-nucleotide ribosomal RNA is filed under the name uncultured bacterium. RNAcentral's name for it is "partial 16S ribosomal RNA". It matches the Rfam family "Bacterial small subunit ribosomal RNA", at positions 523 to 918 of the family's 1533-position model. The record is from RNAcentral.